Non-coding RNA from Schizosaccharomyces pombe (fission yeast), 931 nucleotides. NCBI's taxonomy places the organism in Eukaryota, Fungi, Ascomycota, Schizosaccharomycetes, Schizosaccharomycetales, Schizosaccharomycetaceae. The record is from the annotation of a GenBank genome assembly.
AAAACAUGGUUUAAAACUCGUUCGGCGAAUCCGUAUGAAUCUCGUUUUUGGUGCAAGAGUAUAGAUUAACUCUACUAUCUGUGUUAUCACCACAUGCAAGUAAUAAAUGAUGCGGGUGAAACUUCAGGCACAUUAAACUGGAUGGUUUAGGCUGAUUAAGGAACCGUGGAUUUUCACGGAAGGUAUUAAUAUUCUGGCCUAACGUGUCCCAAAUUUUUAUGCUUUGAUUUGAGGAACCGGUUGCAUAAACUGGGGCGUGACUAUGCACAGUUAAAGAGGUGAGUCCAGAGUUGUCUGUUGAAAAAGUCUGUAAAGAAUGAUUCAUCCUAAUAUCCCAUAGCUUAACUUCACCAUCUGAACUCGCCGAAAUCAAUUCUCGCAUUCCGGAGGAUUGCAUUUCAACAUUGACGAUCUCGGACGAAUGUUCUUUCCAAACAUCCGUUAGUGAAUCUCUUGCAGGCAAUCGUUUGUCGUAAACACGAAGAACUCCAUCUGAAAAUCCAGCAACUAUAAUAUUACAACCGACCAAAUCGCUAGUUAAACUUGUAAUACUAUUACUGCUUCUUACUGGUAGGUUUGCAUAGCAGAUUUCUUUAGAAGCAUCCCAUAUUCGAAUAACGCGUACGUCUCCAGCAACAAGCAAGUGCCCACAGUUCUGUUGCCAACUCAUUAAAAGGCUAGCAUUUCGAUCUCCAAAGACAAGAUCACUUAGAGAAUUCCACGAAGUUACCAGUUCAACCUUUUCAUUUUCGUAGUCACGAUACAGUUUAAUUGUGCCAUCAGAAGACCCAGUCAUCAAUAAAGCAACAUCAUCUUCAUUUAGUAAUUGCAUGUCGGUCACGUUAGUUGUCGCACUUGCUGAAGUUUUGAAAGAAUUGAGGCAACGAUUGCGACGCCAGUCCCAUACCUGAAUGAUAUCUUUGUCACCUAA